Molecule: transfer RNA, 63 nt
Filed under: Dipodomys ordii (Ord's kangaroo rat)
Lineage: Eukaryota; Metazoa; Chordata; Mammalia; Rodentia; Heteromyidae
Rfam family: tRNA
About the family: Transfer RNA (tRNA) molecules are approximately 80 nucleotides in length. Their secondary structure includes four short double-helical elements and three loops (D, anti-codon, and T loops).
Source: Rfam by way of RNAcentral
GGUGCUGUGGCAAAAUGGUAUUGCCUUUGCCUUAAAAGCAAAAAGAGCUCUGAGACAGCUCCA